GGUCUCGUAGCUCAGCUGGUAGAGCAUGCGCGUACAAAGCGUAGGCGGUGUCCAUGCGUGGGUUCGAAUCCCACCGAGGCUA
Echinostoma caproni is the source of this 82-nucleotide non-coding RNA. Lineage: Eukaryota; Metazoa; Platyhelminthes; Trematoda; Plagiorchiida; Echinostomatidae. The record is from Rfam.